Molecule: ribosomal RNA, 460 nt
Filed under: uncultured bacterium
Lineage: Bacteria
Description: partial 16S ribosomal RNA
Rfam family: Bacterial small subunit ribosomal RNA
Source: RNAcentral
CCUACGGGCGGCAGCAGUGAGGAAUAUUGGUCAAUGGGCUUACGCCUGAACCAGCCAAGUCGCGUGAGGGAAGACUGCCCUAUGGGUUGUAAACCUCUUUUGUCAGGGAGCAAUUGGCGCUACGUGUAGCGUUAUCGAGAGUACCUGAAGAAAAAGCAUCGGCUAACUCCGUGCCAGCAGCCGCGGUAAUACGGAGGAUGCGAGCGUUAUCCGGAUUGAUUGGGUUUAAAGGGUGCGUAGGCGGAAUGCCAAGUCAGCGGUAAAAUCGCGGGGCUCAACCUCGCUCCGCCGUUGAAACUGGCGUUCUUGAGUGGGCGAGAAGUAUGCGGAAUGCGUGGUGUAGCGGUGAAAUGCAUAGAGAUCACGCAGAACUCCGAUUGCGAAGGCAGCAUACCGGCGCCCAACUGACGCUGAAGCACGAAAGCGUGGGUAUCGAACAGGAUUAGAUACCCCUGUAGUC